RNAcentral lists this long non-coding RNA (506 nucleotides) under Malus domestica (apple). RNAcentral describes it as "long non-coding RNA (MDOM_LNC021189)". The record is from RNAcentral. Lineage: Eukaryota; Viridiplantae; Streptophyta; Magnoliopsida; Rosales; Rosaceae.
AACUUCCCACUACCCUUGCUAUGGCCGGCCAUCUUAAGUGAUUUGGCUAUUUGCCCAUAUUUGUUUUAGUUGUUAUACAACUUAAACAUAAUGGGCCUAGUGGACCAAAACCUUUUGGACCCCGAAGCCCAAAACUAACUUAAAAGCCCAAUACGAACCUUUCGUAAAAUUAAUUAACUAAUUAAUUAAUCUUGACCAUUCUCAAUUAAACCAUUUAAUUGCUUAUCCAUCUCAUUUAUAUUUCUUCAUUUUCAUCUUUACUCGGUGUACGAUCCAUUAGGUUCCAAUUAGCGAGGCAGUGGGCGAUUGUUACUCUUAACAAUCGAUUAUGAAUUGAAACUACAUUUCAAUUCUCCCUUUGAUUAAGAUUAGUUUUUGCUAAUCUUCAGGGCUUGCACAAACCAUGAGUGACACCUAGCAGUAUGUCAUGGUUACCCAAGCUAAGUAGAAGUGGUUGGAGAACCUAUCCAGUUACAACUACAACGCAAUACGGUCCUUCUCUAAUA